This 490-nucleotide ribosomal RNA is filed under the name uncultured bacterium. Its description in RNAcentral is "partial 16S ribosomal RNA". It matches the Rfam family "Bacterial small subunit ribosomal RNA", at positions 30 to 507 of the family's 1533-position model. The record is from RNAcentral.
AUUGAACGCUGGCGGCAGGCCUAACACAUGCAAGUCGAACGGUAACAGGAAGAAGCUUGCUUCUUUGCUGACGAGUGGCGGACGGGUGAGUAAUGUCUGGGAAACUGCCUGAUGGAGGGGGAUAACUACUGGAAACGGUAGCUAAUACCGCAUAACGUCGCAAGACCAAAGAGGGGGACCUUCGGGCCUCUUGCCAUCGGAUGUGCCCAGAUGGGAUUAGCUAGUAGGUGGGGUAACGGCUCACCUAGGCAACGAUCCCUAGCUGGUCUGAGAGGAUGACCAGCCACACUGGAACUGAGACACGGUCCAGACUCCUACGGGAGGCAGCAGUGGGGAAUAUUGCACAAUGGGCGCGAGCCUGAUGCAGCCAUGCCGCGUGUAUGAAGAAGGCCUUCGGGUUGUAAAGUACUUUCAGCGGGGAGGAAGGGAGUAAAGUUAAUACCUUUGCUCAUUGACGUUACCCGCAGAAGAAGCACCGGCUAACUCCGUG